GGAGUGCAGUCAUUUUGGGGGCAAGUGAGGUUACAGAUCACAUUUACAGCACAGGAGGAGGCCAUUUUGGUCCUCAUCAUGCUGCUGUUAUGGCCACCCAAACUAAUUCUGCUUUCUAGCUCUUAGAUCAUAGCCUUGAAGGUUACUGCACUUUUUAAGUAGUCUUUACGGUUUUGCCUCUACCAUCUCUGGCAGUGAUUUCCAGGCCCCCAGUCAGCCUCUGGUUUGAGAAGGUUAAUGUCAAAUGUCCCCUCAAUCUCUUACCUAUCACUCUAAAUCUGUGGACUGGUUAUGGAUCGCUCAACAAGAGGAAUAGAGUAUGUAUUCUAUAGAAUCCCCACAGUGUGGAUGCAGGCCAUUUGGCCCAUCAAGUCUACAUUAACCCUCAAGAGGAUCCCACCCAGACACUACCUCAUCCCAGUAACCCUACGUUUCUUAUGGCCAGGAGAUCUUUGGACUGAGGGGGGGGGGGGGAAAAGGCCCAGAGCACCAGGAAGAAACCCACUCGGAGGGUGACUGUGCAAACUCUACAUAGUAUCCCGAGGGUAGAAUUGAACCCGAGUUCCCUGGUGUUAUGAGGUGGCAGUGCUAACCACUGAGCCACCAUGCUGCGCUCUCAAACCUCCUAGAACUUCAUGCCUCUCAUCUAGGUUUUCCCUCUGCUGCCUCUGUUCUAAAGAAAUUUGAACCUUUUCUCUCUUGCACCUCCUCAUGCUCUCAGGAAUCUGAGCCAAACUGUAGAAAGCAUUGCUGCCUACCUUGGAGAUACUUGACCAUUAUCCAUUAGAAAUGUACUUUUGAGAUUCAUUAAUUCCUGUAUUCAAAUCUUGCCCAAAUUUUGAAAAGGCCUAGUUUAGACUCCGGUGGAUCCUUGCCUAUUUAAAUAGUGUGCACACUGUUGUUAACUUCCGGCCAGGAUAAUACACAUGUCAGCUAGUUUGGUGUUUUAAAAAGGUAAAAACAAUGACUGCAGAUGCUGGAAACCAGAUUCUGGAUUAGUGGUGCUGGAAGAGCACAGCAGUUCAGGCAGCAUCCGAGGAGCUUUGAAAUCGACGUUUCCGAUUUGGUGUUUUACUGUGCAACUCUUUGUUCCUUCUCCUCAGGAAAUGUGCACUGAGUGGCCUAUCCAGAACCUGUAAGCAUCGCAUCAAACUGGGGGACUCUGGAAAUUAUUUCUACAUUUCACCAUCCUGCAGGUCCAGGAUUACUGCUGUUUGCAAUUUCUUCACAUAUAUUCGUUAUAUCCAACAAGGUUUAGUCCGACAAGAUGUGGAACAGAUGUACUGGGAAGUGAUGAAGCUGAGGAAGGAAAUGUCUAAUGCUAAACUAGGAUACUACACCGAGGAGUCUUAAUCUCUGGGUUGAUACCCCAGAUUCAGAAUUAAGCUUCAAGUCAAGGGACCAUUCAUUUAAACAAUGGAUUUAAACAAAAUGGAAAAUGCCAUCACAAAUAAGAGCAGGAAAUGAACAGGAAGCAUGGUGAUGUUCCUAGCGUGGAUGAAUGACUGCCUCCGUGACCUGGGCUAUAUUAAAAGUUAUGUUAAAUGCCAAGGCGUGACUAUGGAUAAUAUACAGGGUAAUCUUAUCUCAUUAGCCAUUGAUCAAAGGUCUCGUAAUUUGGAUCUUUGUUGCAACAACCAAGAAUUGUAAAACCACCACAAACCUUUGUGCCUGUUAGGCCUCAGCGGCUUAAUUCCUUUUGGUAAACUGGUAUAAAAUGGAGAAAAGUGGUUCUUGGAGGACCAUUUUGAAGGAAAAGUAAGUUUCUUCCUUUUCGAUGUAAUAAUAGUAGAAAAUUGGACUUCAAGCUAGGGUAUUAAGCCCAGCCAUGAUUGCAGCAAUUUGAUUUUUUUAUUUCCCUUCUCUGAGGUGCUAUUCACCAACUACUUUUUGUUUUGGAAGGAAUACAUGGGUAGGGCCAGUGUUGAGUUGGUUGAAAUAGUCCUGUUACAUCACAUCAGAUAGCAGCAAUGAUGUGGCAGUGAUCUACAGUACAAGUAUAGAGACUAAUCCCUAAACCACCCACCGCCUCCUCCCCCAACUAGAUAGUGGAAAGGCCGCUUACUCCCACAGAAGAGUUCCUCAACAAGCUGGGAAGGAGGGAUUUGGGUGGGGGGGUGGGAUGUGGGGUUGGUGGUGAUAGGUGCAUGAAAUGUCAUCUAUGUUGCACUUGUGCUAGUGCAAGGGAUGCUUAAUUGGAUGAAGGUUUCAUGGAUUACCAUGACUAUGAAGUAUCUCAGUCAAUGAUCUGAUCCUAUCAAUUCCAUGAAUCAUUGAGAUGGCCAUCGUGCUUUCUGCCAGCUCCUGUAACUCUUUGUCACUGUUCCUUUGCACAGUCCCACAAAAUACAUCUUCAACUGUCCAUGCUGUCAUCUUCCAGCUGAGAGCCAUUCGGCUAUGACCUGUUGGUUUGUUUAUGUGCAGUGCAUUCCAUUAUUGUACACAGACUACUCCAUUUUUAGUAUUUAUUGUGUUGGACAGUUUAAACUACCAGCUGAUACUCAGUGAUGUUUCGAAGCAUUGAUUCUGCUUCUGUACGUCUUUAAGCCUUGGCCCUAUACAAACAUGGAAUGUACACUAGCCAUCCAUACUCUUCCGUUCACAUUCCACAGUGUAUCUCUCCUCUUCCACAACCGUACAAUGAUGUUUUUGCAUCCCUUCCUUUUUGGAUGCACUGUCGCCAUGAUGACCAGUCUCCUAAGCAAUAAAUGUUGUGACUAAGUAAUGUCUCCAAAUGCCUCAUUGUGCGACACAGAAUUCUGAGGAUGGGAGCCUAGACUUUCAGUUCUUAAUCUUUGAUUACAAACUGGCUUGAGCCAAGUAUCAUUCUUCUACAUGUUUAACUUGUACUAGAGUAUUAUAAUCACUACAAAAUUCCUUAUAAUCCAUACAUUACUAUUAAAGGAGCACCAUCAAAUGUUUGGCAAACAUUAAUCUGAAAAUUAAUUUAUGCCAAUUUUCAUUCUUGUCUUCAAAGUGAAGUCUCCUGCCAGGGUGAGCAGCAAUUGUUGCCGUCAGCAUUGGACCUAAGUGACUAAUGAGUGAUUGCUGUCAGGCAGUUCAAAUGUCAAGAUUCACAAGGGGCCUGCUCUCCUCCUCUUAACACAGAUAUACUUUCCAGCUGGGGUUGCUGGAUAGUAAUCAGGAGACAGGACUCGUGGCUGUCCAAUCAGUUCUGAAGAAAGGUCGCUGGACCCGAAACACCAACUCUGUUUUCUCUCCACAGAUGCUACCAAACCUGCUGAGUUUCUCCAGCAGUUUUUGCUUUUUGUUUGAUUUUCCAGCAUCCAGUGUGUUUUUUUUUUGUUGUAAAAAUAUCUAAUUGUGUGAGAGCUCAAAUGCCCAAAAAUGACGCAGUAUUUCCUUUCCCCUUUUCCAUACCCUGCAAAAGAGAGGUGUUUGCCAAACACCUUUCCUAAAGGUUGUGCUCCUUUAAACUGCAUGGUGCAUGCUUAAAAUUUUUUUUAAUGACUUUUUUUCAGGUAUCAUUAAUUCCAGUGUUUAUUGUGGGGAAUUGUUCACCACUUGCCAAUCUAAUGAUUACUGGACGUGGGGGAUCCAUGCCUCCCUGAAAAUCAGUUGGAACUUUCCUUCAAUGGGCUGGACUGACUGCAUAGUUGUAUAAAUGUCUAGUACGUUUCUACAAUGUAUGAAUAAAUACUAAUUAUAAAA
This is a non-coding RNA of Chiloscyllium plagiosum (whitespotted bambooshark), 3672 nucleotides long. Lineage: Eukaryota; Metazoa; Chordata; Chondrichthyes; Orectolobiformes; Hemiscylliidae. The record is from RefSeq and is a predicted model, not a curated record.